This 216-nucleotide unclassified non-coding RNA is filed under the name uncultured fungus. RNAcentral's name for it is "sequence contains ITS1". Lineage: Eukaryota; Fungi. The record is from RNAcentral.
UUGAUUCAUUUAUAGUUGUUUACUCAGAAGAUACAAAAAAAACAAGAGUUUAUAGGGCCACCGGCCGACCUGCUCCAUUUCUUGCAAAAAGGGACUUCGUACGAAGCCGGUCUGCGCCGAGGCAACAAUAGAGAAUAAUUCACAAAGGGUUUCUGGGUAGCACCCGUGAGGGCGUUUGUUCCAGCAAUGAUCCCUCCGCUGGUUCACCAACGGAGA